This 372-nucleotide ribosomal RNA is filed under the name uncultured organism. Its description in RNAcentral is "partial 16S ribosomal RNA". It matches the Rfam family "Bacterial small subunit ribosomal RNA", at positions 527 to 896 of the family's 1533-position model. The record is from RNAcentral.
GUAGGCGGCAAGCGUUGUCCGGAAUUAUUGGGCGUAAAGCGCGCGAAGGCGGUUCUUUAAGUCUGAUGUGAAAGCCCACGGGCUCAACCGUGGAGGGUCAUUGGAAACUGGAGAACUUGAGUACAGAAGAGGAAAGCGGAAUUCCACGUGUAGCGGUGAAAUGCGUAGAGAUGUGGAGGAACACCAGUGGCGAAGGCGGCUUUCUGGUCUGUAACUGACGCUGAGGCGCGAAAGCGUGGGGAGCAAACAGGAUUAGAUACCCUGGUAGUCCACGCCGUAAACGAUGAGUGCUAAGUGUUAGGGGGUUUCCGCCCCUUAGUGCUGCAGCUAACGCAUUAAGCACUCCGCCUGGGGAGUACGGCCGCAAGGCUG